ACUGACGCUGAGGCGCGAAAGUGUGGGGAGCAAACAGGAUUAGAUACCCUGGUAGUCCACACUGUAAACGAUGAACGCUAGGUGUAGGGGGUAUCGACCCCUUCUGUGCCGCAGUUAACACAAUAAGCAUUCCGCCUGGGGAGUACGGCCGCAAGGUUGAAACUCAAAGGAAUUGACGGGGGCCCGCACAAGCAGCGGAGCAUGUGGUUUAAUUCGACGCAACGCGAAGAACCUUACCAGGUCUUGACAUCCAGGUAAAGCAGUAGAGAUACUGUGUGUGCUUGCACAAUCUGAGACAGGUGGUGCAUGGUUGUCGUCAGCUCGUGUCGUGAGAUGUUGGGUUAAGUCCCGCAACGAGCGCAACCCUUACUUUCAGUUACUAACACGCAGUGGUGAGGACUCUGAAGGGACUGCCGGGGACAACUCGGAGGAAGGUGGGGACGACGUCAAAUCAUCAUGCCCCUUAUGACCUGGGCUACACACGUGCUACAAUGGCCACCACAGAGAGGAGCGAACCCGUAAGGGGGAGCGGAUCUCAAAAAAGUGGUCCCAGUUCGGAUUGUGGGCUGCAACCCGCCCACAUGAAGUCGGAGUGCUAGU
Molecule: ribosomal RNA, 600 nt
Filed under: uncultured bacterium
Lineage: Bacteria
Description: bacterial SSU rRNA
Rfam family: Bacterial small subunit ribosomal RNA
Source: RNAcentral